AUACGGGGGGUGCAAGCGUUAAUCGGAAUUACUGGGCGUAAAGCGCGCGUAGGCGGCUUUGUAAGUCGGAUGUGAAAGCCCUGGGCUCAACCUGGGAACUGCAUUCGAAACUGCAUGGAUAGAGUAUGGGAGAGGGAAGUGGAAUUUCCGGUGUAGCGGUGAAAUGCGUAGAUAUCGGAAGGAACACCAGUGGCGAAGGCGACUUCCUGGCCCAAUACUGACGCUCAGGUGCGAAAGCGUGGGGAGCAAACAGGAUUAGAUACCCCAGUAGUCC
RNAcentral lists this ribosomal RNA (274 nucleotides) under uncultured bacterium. RNAcentral's name for it is "partial 16S ribosomal RNA". It matches the Rfam family "Bacterial small subunit ribosomal RNA", at positions 523 to 796 of the family's 1533-position model. The record is from RNAcentral.